Long non-coding RNA from Carassius gibelio (silver crucian carp), 1646 nucleotides. RefSeq lists it as uncharacterized. The record is from RefSeq and is a predicted model, not a curated record. NCBI's taxonomy places the organism in Eukaryota, Metazoa, Chordata, Actinopteri, Cypriniformes, Cyprinidae. The transcript has 2 exons.
CCAGGGCUCUCAAGUUUUGAACUGAGUUCAGAGUGAGAUUUUGCCCGCGGUCGCGAUGGCGGCAGGGGUUUGAUGGGGACGGGUGUCUGAUCUCAUAAAUGACACAUAUUCUUACAAAUAAAAUAAUAUUUAUUUAAUUCAGCAUUUAUUUGUGUGUGUGUGUGUGCGUGUGUGUGUGUGUGUGUGAGAGAGAGAGAGAGAGAGAGAGAGAAAAUGGUCAGUGUUGUUUAUUGUAGGUGUUGGUAGCUGGUUUUGAGGCCAGGGGUUGGUGGCUCCCAUUUGAAGCACUGUGGUUCCAGGCCAGCCAUUUUUCACAGUUCCAUCAAGUGCUAAGCUGUUCCUGGUUUUGGUCUUGUUUAAUCCCACCAUGGAGAAAACCCUCUCAGCAUAGACUAAGCACCAGUAAAAAGAGCUGGUGGUUCCCAUUGUGAUGAAUGGCCAUCGUGUUGACCACUCCUUCUUAAAGGAACACCUACAGGUGGCUGCUCUACAUAACCCUCUCUUUUUCCCUGUUUCCAGUGGCUUCUCCACUGUUUCCUCUAUGGUCCUCCACAGUCUCUUCCAUGCACCCAUCCUCUACUGGCACUCCCUCCCCUACUGUAUUCUCCACAGCCUCCUCCUCUGACCUAGCCACCUUUUUAGGGAGCUGGGCCCGCAUUCAUAAUGAUUUUAAGAAAGUCCUCUCAGAAAACUCUUAAUUUAGCUUAAAAACUUUUACAUAGGAGUCUUAGCUUUAAAGCAAUUCGGGACCGAUCUGAGAGCAACUCUGACUAAGGAAAAGACAAAAACGUUCAUCUUAGUGAGGAGGCGGGGUUGACCCCGUUGCUAUGUAUGACACAAUCUUUUGAAGACUGUGAUUGGUUGGUAGUCCAAGAAGGAAAAAAAGAGUGAUUUUAAGUAUAGGGUCUAUUCUAAUUCUCACUUUGAAUUUACAUGCGUAAUUUUUCCUAUUUGACCGUUCUCUCUCUCUCUCUCUCUCACACACACACACACACACACACACACACACACACACACACACACACACACACAUUAUAUGUGUGUAUAUGAAUUCUAUUUUUUUAUUUACCAUGCUUUUAAUUUCCUAUAAGAUAUUUGAUUGGUUAGAAUGAUAAAAAUUGCUCGACUCUUUCUAAUUACAGUGAUUGCUGUCCUAUUUAAGUGGCGGUUUGAAUGUUGGUUCUAAUGUAUCAAACAUGGAAUCAAAGCCAAGAAGGGCGAGAAAGCCAAACUGGACAGAGGAACAGUGUUUACUGUUACCCCAGUUAGUGGAUGAACACCAGGACAUUCUUAAAGGAAAAUUCAGACACAGCAAGGGCAAGAAGCAGACAUGGGAGCGUAUAGCACAAACUAUUAACGGUUCAUUCCCUGCUUGUGCGCACCUAUAAGCCUGCUAUAUUCAUAAAUGCAGUUUUUUGAGCCUGUAAGGUGGGAAUGUCCAGUGGAAACGAAAUGAACUGCGAACACAAUAAGAUGUUCUGAAAGUGCUGUAAUUGUUUGUGUGAUCACUCUGCUUACAGAAGGUUGUGACAGACUCAAAUCAUCACUAUUGCAUUGUUGCAUGUUCCCAGUUGCCAAAUAUCGUAAUGUAGUGAUUACUUUAAUUUAUAUAUUAAAUUAUAUUAUAUUAAAUUAUAUAUAAUCUA